This 74-nucleotide transfer RNA is filed under the name Methylotenera sp. RNAcentral's name for it is "tRNA-Arg". It matches the Rfam family "tRNA". From Rfam's summary of the family: Transfer RNA (tRNA) molecules are approximately 80 nucleotides in length. Their secondary structure includes four short double-helical elements and three loops (D, anti-codon, and T loops). Lineage: Bacteria; Pseudomonadati; Pseudomonadota; Betaproteobacteria; Nitrosomonadales; Methylophilaceae. The record is from RNAcentral.
ACGCCCGUAGCUCAGCUGGAUAGAGCAACGGCCUUCUAAGCCGUAGGUCCCCUGUUCGAACCAGGGCGGGCGUA